GAAAUGGUUCUCUCUUUUAUAAAGAUGACAUAUGAAAAUAAAUCAAAUUUAGGUAAACUUGUGGUGAGAAUGAUAUAAUUAGAAUAAUUGUAAAAAUUCCUUCGUGAUAUGUACACAUACUAAAAAUGCUCUGAAUAUAAAAUUACUUGCGGGACUAUACCUUCGCAGUGUAAUUAUAAAAUAAAUCAGUGUUGAAAUGUUUUCUAAUCGGGAUGAGAUAAAUAGAUAAGAAACCAAUUAUAAAUAAAUCAAUCUUAUUCUUAUUCUUAUUCGUGGUAUGUUCUUUCAUAGUAAAAGCAAUCCGGAUCAAUAUAGUAUUCGCCAUUUUAAAUCGUUUUCCUUAUUAUGCUCGAAAUGCUACUACUGAAAUCAUUGUUAAAGCUAAAAAUGUCAUGUACUGAAUUAGC
Molecule: long non-coding RNA, 407 nt
Filed under: Mytilus galloprovincialis (Mediterranean mussel)
Lineage: Eukaryota; Metazoa; Mollusca; Bivalvia; Mytilida; Mytilidae
Source: RNAcentral